Molecule: non-coding RNA, 71 nt
Organism: Crenichthys baileyi (White River springfish)
Lineage: Eukaryota; Metazoa; Chordata; Actinopteri; Cyprinodontiformes; Goodeidae
Source: the annotation of a GenBank genome assembly
UGCACGGUGGCGCAGUUGGUAGCACCCAGGAAGGUCCUGGGUUCGAUUCCCAGCCGGGGGUCUUUCUGCAU